UACGGGGGGGGUAAGCGUUGUUCGGAAUUACUGGGCGUAAAGGGCUCGUAGGCGGCCAACUAAGUCGAACGUGAAAUCCCCGGGCUCAACCCGGGAACUGCGUCCGAUACUGGCAGGCUUGAAUCCGGGAGAGGGAUGCGGAAUUCCAGGUGUAGCGGUGAAAUGCGUAGAUGUCUGGAGGAACACCGGUGGCGAAGGCGGCAUCCUGGACCGGCAUUGACGCUGAGGCGCGAAAGCCAGGGGAGCAAACGGG
This 253-nucleotide ribosomal RNA is filed under the name uncultured bacterium. RNAcentral's name for it is "partial 16S ribosomal RNA". It matches the Rfam family "Bacterial small subunit ribosomal RNA", at positions 524 to 776 of the family's 1533-position model. The record is from RNAcentral.